GAAGAAAAAAAAAAUAGACCAAAUUAAGCCACAUGGGUGGUCUCGUCCCCGGCGUCAUCUCCAAUCUCAGACUCAAAAAAGUCUUCUUCAAACCUCCAAAAGAACACAACUUUGGACCAGAUUCGACAAAACAACGUUAAAUAGAAGUGGCAAAGUUGGCACAUUUUGUGGAUUUAGGAAGUGGUUUGUGGCCGAAGAGUGAUCGGAGAUCAGAGGGGAUCUGGGUCGGAAAGUGUCUGAAAAUCGAAAACUGGAAAUGGUUUUGAUUAGAGUGUAUGUGAGUGGAUAAACACAAUGAUGAUGGCGUCGAUUUUAAGAGCGACGAGGAUCUCGUCGACGACAACGGCGACGAUUUUGACCGGCUGGCCGCCGAGUAGGUGCUGGGUAAUGCAGAGGAGAGCUUUCGACUGGUAGAUGUCGUCGUCGGAAUUGAAGAACAAACCCCCAGACAAGUAGCGUCGUCGGUAUAGGGCAUAGUUUGUGGUGUGAACAGGUAUUUGCUACAACAGUUAUCUGCAAGAAUUUGGAUGUGGCUUCAAGGGUUGCUCGUACUUAUGGUCUGGAUUGCAUAACACUAGAAGGUUGGCCUAGUUCUUUUCAUUGUCGGUAACACUGCAUAACACUGUUUUUCCCUGACAAAUUGUCUGACUUAUUACUGGCGAUAAAGUAAUUAAGCAAGAAUGGUAGUAUGACUAGAGGAUUUUAUGAUCACAGACGAUCAAGAUUGAAGUUCAUGAAUAUCAUUAAGCAGAACGAAGACAAAAUUCACAUUAGAGAAAAGGAAUUGGAGAAAGUUAGAUUUAAUCUACAAAAUUCACCUGUGAUUUACGGCAUUUUACAUUUACAGUGGUUCUUUUGGGGUCUAUUAUCUAGGGGCUUCUUUUAUAAGAGAGCCUCAAUUUGUUUUAGACCCGAACUAUUCCUUGUCGAGAAACAAUUUCCUCCAUGGUUGUCAAUUCACAGGUGGUGUAACUUCGGACAAGCUUAUUAGGAGGUGGAAGAUCCUUUGGUGCUCAGUUGUUUGGAACACAUGGAUAGCUAGAAAUUCCUGCAUUUUUAGAGACCAAGCUUUUGACAGAAAAGUCCUAAUGCAAAACAUCAUGUUCCACACGUGGUGUUCGCGUUAAGGUUUGCUAGAAAAGAUUUUGAAGCAUCCUUCCCACAAUGGUCAUCAUAGCCGAAGUUGUUCCUUUGGGAUUGUGUAACCUAGAGCCAUAAAUUAUGGUAGAGCUGUAUGAGGGCCACGUUGAUGAUAUUCGAUGAUAUGAAGAGUGCUUGCGGAUGCUUGUUCAUUAGGAACGGUGAAGAGAAUAUGAUAUUCUGUUAUAUGGGACAGCUAGUUGUACUAUGUUUUUUCUCUUUUAUCUGUGGGUUAUGUUGAAUUUAUAGGUUCAUAAGUACCCUUAAACUCUCUAUAACCCUUGUCUUUGUUUGUUGUUUGUAUCUAUGGGUUUAGGUAACUCUUGUGCGUGUGUGUAUAUAUAUAGGUUUUGUUAAUAUAUAUAUUCUUAUUUUUUCAGUA
Long non-coding RNA from Glycine soja, 1522 nucleotides. RefSeq lists it as uncharacterized. The record is from RefSeq and is a predicted model, not a curated record. NCBI's taxonomy places the organism in Eukaryota, Viridiplantae, Streptophyta, Magnoliopsida, Fabales, Fabaceae. The transcript has 2 exons.